This 400-nucleotide ribosomal RNA is filed under the name uncultured bacterium. RNAcentral describes it as "bacterial SSU rRNA". It matches the Rfam family "Bacterial small subunit ribosomal RNA", at positions 356 to 773 of the family's 1533-position model. The record is from RNAcentral.
GGGGAAUGUUGGACAAUGGGCGCAAGCCUGAUCCAGCCAUGCCGCGUGAGUGAUGAAGGCCUUAGGGUUGUAAAGCUCUUUUGUCCGGGAAGAUAAUGACUGUACCGGAAGAAUAAGCCCCGGCUAACUCCGUGCCAGCAGCCGCGGUAAUACGAAGGGGGCUAGCGUUGUUCGGAAUCACUGGGCGUAAAGCGCACGUAGGCUGACUUUUAAGUCAGAGGUGAAAGCCUGGAGCUCAACUCCAGAACUGCCUUUGAUACUGGGAGUCUCGAGUUCGGAAGAGGUUGGUGGAACUGCGAGUGUAGAGGUGAAAUUCGUAGAUAUUCGCAAGAACACCAGUGGCGAAGGCGGCCAACUGGUCCGAUACUGACGCUGAGGUGCGAAAGCGUGGGGAGCAAAC